UUCCUCUCUGAUGAAGAGAGAACUUUAGAGAAGGGCUGUGUUUUCCCUUCCUUCCUUUUGGUCAUGUGAGAAUGUGAUGCUUGGAGCUUCUGUAACACUUGGUUCCAUGGAGCUACAGGAAGAGAAUUUAGAAACGCUUCGGGAGGACAUGGUUUCCAAGCUGCUCACCCACUGAGUCACGCAUCUCCAGACUUAGACUCUGGAGCCACUGGGAUUAUAGAAGAGCACAGCCGUGCGUGGCUGCACAGAAAUAUUUUAAACAGAUUACAGAACAGUACAUUUAGAGAACUUAAAAUCUGAAAUUCAGAGGUGGAAUGAGACCAAUAAAAUCUGUGUCAUGAGUUGAGAUGAGGGCCGAGGCUCGUGGAGAAAGGACCAGCUGAGGAACUCUCCUUCAGACUCUCUCCCAACCAGUGCAAUAUCUGCAGCACUUAUCCAUAAAAUGUGACAAUGACACAUAAGAGGGUAUCAGAAUUAAGGUGAAAAAGAACACAGAAGACAACGUUGAUUUUAAAUUCCUGGUUGUGAAACAUAGAAUGUCUCAUCAGAAUGGGGAAAGAGUUGCACCUGAGUAAUUACCUGGGAGAAAGGAGUCUGCCCCAACACACGGAUGUAUUUCUAUCUACAUACAUGUCAUUCGAGAACUGCUUAGGGUACAUGAGCGCUGACACAAGCAGAUGAAGACACUGCAGAAUGAUGCUGGGGAGUUAGUCUGAAAUAGCUUGAUGCCUUCCAGAUUCAACAAAAAGCUUACACCAAAGUAAGAGCAUCCAUUAUUUUAAAGAGAGGAAGGAAAGAGAUGGGAACAGUGAUUAAUCCCUUGGCCUUUAAAGAGUAGAUGUAUUCAUCUUGCAGUGGAGGGGAGAUUGGGAUGGAGACCAUUUCUGAUUGGACUUUUUUUUUCACUGUCUACUCAACCAUGGUUCAAUGCUAAUGUGUGCAUGUGUGUGUGUGUGUGUGUGUGUGU
Ictidomys tridecemlineatus (thirteen-lined ground squirrel) is the source of this 967-nucleotide non-coding RNA. The record is from RefSeq and is a predicted model, not a curated record. NCBI's taxonomy places the organism in Eukaryota, Metazoa, Chordata, Mammalia, Rodentia, Sciuridae.